Molecule: non-coding RNA, 29 nt
Filed under: Rattus norvegicus (Norway rat)
Lineage: Eukaryota; Metazoa; Chordata; Mammalia; Rodentia; Muridae
Source: RNAcentral
UACCAAGUGAGUUCCAGGACAACCAAAGU